Molecule: ribosomal RNA, 253 nt
Filed under: uncultured bacterium
Lineage: Bacteria
Description: partial 16S ribosomal RNA
Rfam family: Bacterial small subunit ribosomal RNA
Source: RNAcentral
UACGUAGGUGGCAAGCGUUGUCCGGAUUUAUUGGGUUUAAAGGGUGCGUAGGCGGCCCUGUAAGUCAGUGCUGAAAUAUCCCAGCUUAACUGGGAGGGUGGCGUUGAUACUGCGGGGCUAGAGUACAGAUGAGGUAGGCGGAAUUGACGGUGUAGCGGUGAAAUGCUUAGAUAUCGUCAAGAACACCUAUAGCGAAGGCAGCUUACUAGGCUGUAACUGACGCUGAGGCACGAAAGUGUGGGGAUCAAACAGG